Molecule: ribosomal RNA, 2898 nt
Filed under: Clostridioides difficile
Lineage: Bacteria; Bacillati; Bacillota; Clostridia; Peptostreptococcales; Peptostreptococcaceae
Description: 23S ribosomal RNA
Rfam family: Bacterial large subunit ribosomal RNA
Source: RNAcentral
GGUCAAGUUAUUAAGGGUGCAGGGCGGAUGCCUUGGCACUAGGAGCCGAUGAAGGACGUGAUAAGCUGCGAUAAGCUUCGGGGAGUUGCACGUAAACUUUGAUCCGAAGAUUUCCGAAUGAGGAAACUCACUUAGAGUAAUGUCUAAGUAUCAUUAAGUGAAUACAUAGCUUAAUGAGGGGAACUCAGGGAACUGAAACAUCUAAGUACCUGAAGGAAGAGAAAGAAAUUCGAUUCCGUAAGUAGCGGCGAGCGAACGCGGAUUAGCCCAAACCAAUAAAGUUUUCUUUAUUGGGGUUGCGGACAUAUCAUAACGAAGAGGUAUCGUAAUUGAAGAGGUUUGGAAAGACCCACCACAGAAGGUAAUAGUCCUGUAUGUUAAACGAGAAGACUUCAGAUAUGAUCCAGAGUACCACGGGACACGUGAAACCCUGUGGGAAGCAGGAGGGACCACCCUCCAAGGCUAAAUACUACCUAGUGACCGAUAGCGUAUAGUACCGUGAGGGAAAGGUGAAAAGAACCCCGGGAGGGGAGUGAAAUAGAACCUGAAACCCUGCACUUACAAGCUGUGGAAGCACAUUUCUUGUGUGACCGCGUACUUUUUGUAGAACGGGCCAACGAGUUACGUUAAGUAGCAAGGUUAAGCACUUAAGGUGUGGAGCCGUAGCGAAAGCGAGUUUUAACUGAGCGUUCAGUUACUUGACGUAGACCCGAAACCGGGCGACCUACCCAUGAGCAGGAUGAAGCGAAAGUAAAAUUUCGUGGAGGUCCGAACCCACGAGCGUUGAAAAGCUCGGGGAUGACUUGUGGGUAGCGGUGAAAUUCCAAUCGAGCCCGGAGAUAGCUGGUUCUCCCCGAAAUAGCUUUAGGGCUAGCCUCAAGGUGAGAGAUACGGAGGUAGAGCACUGAAUGUCCUCGGGGGUAUUGCACCUACCGAAGACUAUCAAACUCCGAAUGCCGUCAUCUUAUACUUGGGAGUCAGACUGUGGGUGAUAAGAUUCAUAGUCGAAAGGGCAACAGCCCAGAUCGUCAGCUAAGGUCCCUAAAUGUAAGUUAAGUGGUAAAGGAUGUGGGAUUGCACAGACAACCAGGAUGUUGGCUUAGAAGCAGCCACUCAUUCAAAGAGUGCGUAAUAGCUCACUGGUCGAGUGAUCCUGCGCCGAAGAUUUCCGGGGCUAAAACUUACUACCGAAGCUACGGCAUCAGUAAUGAUGGGUAGGGGAGCUUCCCAUACGGGUUGAAGCAUGACCGUAAGGACAUGUGGACAGUAUGGGAGUGAGAAUGUUGGCAUGAGUAGCGAGAUGUGGGUGAGAAUCCCACAGGCCGUAAACCCAAGGUUUCCAGGGGAAGGUUCGUCCGCCCUGGGUUAGUCGGGACCUAAGCUGAGGCCGAAAGGCGUAGGUGAUGGACAACAGGUUGAUAUUCCUGUACUACCGAUAACCGUUUGAGAGAAGGGAUGACACAGUAGGAUAAGCUAAGCACACUGUUGGUUAUGUGUGCCCAAGCAUUGAGGCAGUCAAAGUAGGCAAAUCCGCUUUGAUAAUGCUGGGAUGUGAUGGGGAGCGAAAUUUAGUAGCGAAGUAGCUGAUUUCACACUGUCAAGAAAAGUCUCUAUCGAGGUUAAAGGUACCCGUACCGCAAACCGACACAGGUGGGUGAGGAGAGUAUCCUAAGGCCAGCGAGAGAACUGUUGUUAAGGAACUCGGCAAAAUGACCCCGUAACUUAGGGAUAAGGGGUGCCACCAUCAGGUGGCCGCAGAGAAUAGGCCCAAGCGACUGUUUACCAAAAACAUAGGUUUCUGCUAAGUCGCAAGACGAUGUAUAGGAGCUGACGCCUGCCCGGUGCUGGAAGGUUAAGGGGAUCUGUUAGAGCAAUCGAAGCAGUGAACUUAAGCCCCAGUAAACGGCGGCCGUAACUAUAACGGUCCUAAGGUAGCGAAAUUCCUUGUCGGGUAAGUUCCGACCCGCACGAAAGGCGUAACGAUUUGGGCACUGUCUCAACAACAGACUCGGUGAAAUUGUAAUUCCGGUGAAGAUGCCGGAUACCUGCGACAGGACGGAAAGACCCCAUGGAGCUUUACUGUAGCUUGACAUUGGGUCUUGGUACUACAUGUACAGGAUAGGUGGGAGGCUUUGAAACCAGGACGCCAGUUUUGGCGGAGCCAUCCUUGGGAUACCACCCUUGUAGUACUGGGACUCUAACCAUAGGCCAUGAAUCUGGUCUUGGGACACUGUCAGGUGGGCAGUUUGACUGGGGCGGUCGCCUCCCAAAAGGUAACGGAGGCGCUCAAAGGUUCUCUCAGUACGGUCGGAAAUCGUACGUAGAGUGUAAAGGCAAAAGAGAGCUUGAUUGCAAGACAUACAGGUCGAGCAAGGAUGAAAAUCGGACUUAGUGAUCCGGUGGUUCUGCGUGGAAGGGCCAUCGCUCAACGGAUAAAAGCUACCCUGGGGAUAACAGGCUUAUCUCCCCCAAGAGUCCACAUCGACGGGGAGGUUUGGCACCUCGAUGUCGGCUCAUCACAUCCUGGGGCUGUAGUAGGUCCCAAGGGUUGGGCUGUUCGCCCAUUAAAGUGGUACGCGAGCUGGGUUCAGAACGUCGUGAGACAGUUCGGUCCCUAUCCGUCGCAGGCGUAGGAAAUUUGAGAAGACCUGUCCUUAGUACGAGAGGACCGGGAUGGACGUACCUCUGGUGUACCAGUUGUUCUGCCAAGGGCAUGGCUGGGUAGCUAUGUACGGAAUGGAUAAGCGCUGAAAGCAUCUAAGCGCGAAGCCAACUUCAAGAUAAGAUUUCCCACCGCAAGGGUAAGACCCCAGAAAGACUAUCUGGUUGAUAGGUCGAAGGUGUAAGUGCAGCAAUGUAUUUAGCUUAUCGAUACUAAUAGGUCGAGGACUUGACCAA